Molecule: long non-coding RNA, 4893 nt
Filed under: Homo sapiens (human)
Lineage: Eukaryota; Metazoa; Chordata; Mammalia; Primates; Hominidae
Description: HSALNT0004872
Source: RNAcentral
GUUUCACCUAAAGCUGUCUCGUUACAUUUUUAAAGUUUGGCCUAAAGGUUUCUCUGUACAUAGUGAAUGGUAAUCUCCGGACGUGUAAACAAGCUGUAACCUAUUCUUGUACCAAUUGCUGAGUUUCAGCCAAUAAAAUGCAGCCAACUGUUGAAACCAUGUUCAAAUAAGGCAAGUAUCAAGCUGUAAGCAAUCCAGCUGUUUCUGUACUUCAGUUUCAUUUUCUGUACAUCACUUUCCUUUUUCUGUACAUAAGUCUUCAACCAUGUGGUAGUGCCAGAGUCUCUUUGAACCUAUUCUGGUUCUAAGGGCUGCCUGAUUUGUGAAUCACUGUUUCCUCAAUUAAACUCUGUUAAAUUUAAUUUGUCUAGUUUUUCUUUUAACAGAUGGUGUCAGAAGUGGGAUCCGAAGUAGAACCUCUAGCAAUCCCCAGAAGCACUGAGUGACGAAGCAUGGUACCAGUCAGACUCUCUGUGUCCAUUCCUCUCUUGCAGCAACUGGGGAUUGUGGUGUAUUUUCACCAGGUAAAGAAAGCUUUUCAUGGACCACUGACUCAGGACAAGCAAACCCUUCAUGAUAUAGAAUUCAGAGGCUGGAUCUUUUGGAAACACAUCAGAGAAAGACUCCCCUUGUCACCCACACUGCAGCGAAACUUCAGGACCCUGAAGCUUGGGUUUGUAAUCUCACAACUUAGAAAGGCCCACCCAGACUCUUGGAACCACACACCCAUCAGAGGGAGAACUUAAGGUAAAGCUAAUGAGGUAAGUUUCUCCCGAGAAGCAGAUGGCCUCCUAGAUGUGGACAGAUUUCCCAAGAUUGUGGAUCAAGACUUCUCUGCUAUCAUGAGGCUUUUGGCUCUCAAUUUUUUCCAAGUUCAUGCCUGUUAUGAACAACUAAACUGAAAAAGGGGUCUCUUGUGUACACUCACAAGGUAUACUUUUAUUUGUGAAGGAUAAAAAAAACCUCAUAUUGGCCAGGUGUGGUGGCUCAUGCCUGUAAUCCCAGCACUUUGGGAGGCCAAGGCGGGUGAAUCACGAGGUCAGGAGAUCGAGACCAUCCUGGCCAACAUGGUGAAACCCCAUCUCUACUAAAAUACAAAAAAUUAGCCAGGCAUGGUGGCACAUGCCUGUAGUCCCAGCUACUCAAGAGGCUGAGGCAGGGGAAUUGCUUGAACCCGGGAGAUGGAGGUUGCAGUGAGCCAAGAUCACAGCCUGGUGACAGAGCAAGACUCCGUCUCAAAACAAAAACCAAAAAACAAAAAAAAACAAAAACCCUCACACACAGAGAAGUUUACGCCUUGAUAGAGGGAAGAUGAAGGGCCAAUGUGGGUGAGAAAUUUUAAUGGUACCUUUUUUGCUUCAUAAUCAGUCAGAAACAGAGCACUGGUCAACUCCUCUUAACCUACAUCAUAAUUUAAAGAGAAAAUUGUCGGCCAGGCAUGGUGGCUCACAACUGUAAUCUCAGCAGUUUGGGAGGCCGAGGUGGGCAGAUCACGAGGUCAAGAGAUGGAGACCAUCCUGGCUAACGUGGUGAAACCCCGCUCUACUAAGAAUACAAAAAAUUAGUUGGGCGUGGUGGUACGUGCCUGUUCUACUUGGGAGGCUGAGGCAGGACAAUUGUUUGAUCCCGGGAGGCAGAGGCUGCAGUGAGCCGAGAUCAUGCCACUGCACUCCAGCCUCAAAAAAAAAAAGAGAACAUUGUCAAUACAGGUUAAAGAGAAUAGUGCCAGGAGGCCUUCACUCUUCUGGAUGGGCAUUAUUUGUUAGUUUAUUUUUCUAUGGUGUGUUUUUUCCUUUUUGGAGACAGGGUCUGGCUCUGCUGCCCAGGCUGGGAUGCAGUGGCGUGAUCUCGGCUCACUGCAACCUCUGCCUCCUGGGCUCAAGCAAUCCUCCCACUUCAGCCUCCUGAGUAGCUGGGACCACAGGCGUGCACCACUGUGCUCGGAUUAUUUUUGAAUUUUCAGUAGAGACAGGGUUUUGCCAUGUUGCCUAGGCUGGUCUUGAACUCCUGAGCUCAAGCAAUCUGCCCACCUCAGCCUCCCAAAGUGAUUGCAGAUUACAGGUGUGAGCCACUGCGCCUGGCCUAUGGUUUGGAGUUAAUGUAAUGAGGCAAUGAUUAGAAAUUUAUCUCUCUAAAUUUUCUAGCCUAUUAGAAAUUUAUAGGCUCUUUAGCAGAUUCUACUGCAAAGACUAUGGUUAUACAAGAGACUUUAAAUUAUCUUGCUAAAGUUGUGCUAGAUAAUAGAAUUGCUCUAGAUUACUUACUGGCUAAACAGAAGUAUCUGUGCAGCUGCUGCUACUUCUUAUUGAACAUGGAGGAAUACAUUGGAUAUUAACAGAUUCAGUCGUAGGGGAUUAACAAACAGGGUGCUUGGUUGAAACAAGUAGACUCUUAUUCUAGCUUAUUCUUCGAUCUAUUUGAUUUUAGGUGGCUUGGUUCAUGGGGACCUUGGCUAAGGAGCAUACUCCAAACUCUUAGGGUUAUUCUCCUGAGAGUCAUAAUAGUAGUCUCCCUGGGAUACUAUAUUCUCUCAAAAGUUUUAAGUGUUUGCAUAUGGCCAUCUGUAGGAUGUCAAAUGGUCUCUCUUGAAUUGGAACAGAAACUCAAAGAAAUGUAUGAGCAUGAGGAACACCAUACUUAUAAAUGACGUACUGAGACCAGAAACCCAAAAUCUUGGUAACAGAGUGGUGCUAAGGUCCUAAGUUUUGGUCACACUCUUACCUAAGUGAGGACCUAACCAAAAGGGAGGAAUUUUUAAACAAAAUUGUGGGAGGCCAUUGUUUUGGACUAAGCUCAUGCAUGAGGCCCCAACAGACCAUACCAAACCAAAAUGGAGUCACUCAUGCUAAGCGUGAGACAAUUACACUGAAACAUUAAAGAAAGAGAUAGAUCCUAAAAUAGACCAGGUUUUGUUUUUCUCCUGAAAACAGGAAAUUUCAGCACAAGGAGGUCCCCUCUACUCUUACCCUUAGGAAAAAGUAACCUGAAGUCCUUGUUCCCAUUUUACAAAACCCAUUGUUCUGCUAUUUCCCAGUGGGAUUUGAGACCAAAUAAGUAAGUUUAUGAUGGUGACUGACAUCAAUGCCAAUCCAUUAAAAAAAAAAAUUGGGGGGAUAGAUCAAAGGGGAUAACUGUUAAAUUAAGUUUUGCCUAAAGCUACCUCCUUACAUCUUUUAAGUUCAGUCUAGAGGUUUCUCUGAACAUCGUAAACUGUAACCUAGGCCAGGCGCAGUGGCUCACGCCUGUAAUCCCAGCACUUUGGGAAGCUGAGGCAGGCAGAUCACCUCAGGUCAGGAGUUUGAGACCAGCCUGGCCAACAGAGUGAAACCCCAUCUCUACUAAAAAUACAAAAAUUAGCCGGGCAUAGUAGUGCAGGCCUGUAGUCCCAGAUACUCUAGAGGCUGAGGCAGGAGAACCGCUUGAACCUGAGAGGCGGAGGUUGCAGUGAGCCGAGAUCACGCCACUGCACUCCAGCCUGGGUGACAGAGCAAGACUCUGUCUCAAAACAAAAACAAAAAACUGUAACCUAACUGGAUGGGUAAAUAGUGGAUAAGCUACUUGUGUACCAAACACUGAGUUUUAGCCAAUCAAUUACAGCUAACUGUUCAAAUCAUCUUCAAAUAAGGCAAAUGCCAAGCUGUAACCAAUCCAUCUGUUUCUGUACUUCAUUUCCAUAUUCUGUAUGCCACUUUCCUUUUUCUGUCCAUAAAUCUUCUUCAACCAUGCGGCUGCUGGAAGUCUCUCUGAACCUGUUCUUGUUCCAGGAGCUGCCUGAUUUGCAAAUCAUUCUUUGCUCAAUUAUAAACUCUGUUAAAUUUAAUUUGUCUGAAGUUUUUAUUUUAACAGAAGAUAUGAUUAGCUCUAUUUUACAAAGGUGAACAUUGAAGAAUAAUGAGAUUAAAUAAAUUAUCCAUGGUAAUAAAUCCAGGUAGUGGCAAAUCUGGGAAUUAUACCUAAACUGUCAUCGAAAGACAAUGAUGCUUGCUGCUACUAUCCCACAAAAAGUAGUUGUGAUAUUGUGAAAUAUGCAUUUGUUGGCCAUUCCCAUUUCCUAGCAGACAACUCCUAAAAUCCUUAGAAACUCCUAAGUGUUAUCUUUUUUAUAUGAUACUGAUUGCCUAACGGCUGGUAGCCUAUAGGUAGCUUCAGGAUGGGGUCUGGUCACCAGAAAGGCAAGGCAGGAUUAGAGGGCUGGGACUUUCAGCCCCACAUCCCCAACCUCCAAGGAGGCGAAAGGGGCCGAAGGUUAAGUUGAUAACUAAUGGCUAACAGUUUAAUCAAUGAGGCCUAUGUAAUGAAGCAUCCAUAAAAAUCCAAAAGGAUGGGGUUUGGAGAGCUUCUGGCCAGCUGAACACACAAAGGUUCCUGGAGGGUGGUGUACCCAGGGAUGGCAUGUAAACUCCACACUCCGUCCCCAUACCUCACCCUAUGGAUAUCUUUACUGCAUCCUUUGGAAUAUCUUUUAUAAUAAAACAGUAAACAUAGUAAGUGUUUCCCUAGUUCUGUGAGCUGCUCUAUCAGACGAAUCUAUCUUGAAGAGGGGGUCAUGGGAACCCAUGACCAGAGGCCUGGACUUGCUACUGGCAUCUGAAGCAGAGUGCAGCCUUGUGGGAGUGAACCCUGAAUCUGUGGAAUCUGAUGCUAUUUCCAGGAAGAUAGUGUAAUAACUGAAUUGGAGGACACCCAGCUGGUGUCCACUGCAGAACUGAUUGUUUGCUUGGUGUGUGGGGAAACCCUCCCCACAUUUAGUCACAAGAGUGUUCUGUGUUGAUUGCUCUGGUGUGAGAGCAGAGAAAAAACAUGGUUUGAGCUUGUGUUUUUUCCAUUCACAGUAGUCUAUAAGGAUGUCUAAUAGAAUGAAUCAAGGAAUUUACUAUGACUAACAAAUUUUUU